UACGAGGGGGGCGAGCGUUGUUCGGAAUUAUUGGGCGUAAAGGGCGCGUAGGCGGUCGGAUAAGUCUUGUGUGAAAUCUUCGGGCUCAACUCGAAGUCUGCACAGGAAACUAUCUGGCUUGAGUGUGGGAGAGGUGAGUGGAAUUCCUGGUGUAGCGGUGAAAUGCGUAGAUAUCGGGAAGAACACCCGUGGCGAAGGCGGCUCUCUGGGACGGUACUGACGCUGAGACGCGAAAGCGUGGGGAGCGAACAGG
This 253-nucleotide ribosomal RNA is filed under the name uncultured bacterium. Its description in RNAcentral is "partial 16S ribosomal RNA". It matches the Rfam family "Bacterial small subunit ribosomal RNA", at positions 524 to 776 of the family's 1533-position model. The record is from RNAcentral.